GCCGGCACCGGCCGCCUACGUGAGGCAACAGUAAGGAAUAUUGGCCAAUGGGCGCAAGCCUAAUCCAGCCAUUCUGCGGGUAGGAAGACGCCUCUAUGGGUUGUGAACUCCUUUUAUUUGGGAAGAACCCCCGGGAUUUAUCCCGGGCUGACGGUACCAAAAGAAUAAGCCCCGGCUAAUUACGCGCCAGCAGCCGCGGUAAUCCGGAAGGUGCAAGCGUUAUCCGGAAUCAGUGGGUUUAAAGGGUGCGUAGGCGGAUGUGUCAGUCAGAAGUGAAAGCUCCCAUCUUAACUGUGGAAUUGCUUUUGAUUCUGCGUGGCUAGAAUUAGGCUGAGGUUGGCGGAAUGCGUCAUGUAGCGGUGAAAUGCAUAGAUAUGUCACAGAACACCAAUUGCGAAGGCAGCUGACUGCACCUAUAUUGACGCUGAGGCCCGAAAGCGUGGGGAGCGAACUGCAUUAGAUACCCUGGUAGUCCUCGCCCUAUACGAUGCUUACUCGAUGUGGGAAUUAUUUAGCAUCCAAGGGAAACGGCUAAGAAGCAAGACGGGGAACCAAUGGAGG
This 561-nucleotide ribosomal RNA is filed under the name uncultured Bacteroidota bacterium. RNAcentral's name for it is "bacterial SSU rRNA". It matches the Rfam family "Bacterial small subunit ribosomal RNA", at positions 324 to 881 of the family's 1533-position model. The record is from RNAcentral. Lineage: Bacteria; Pseudomonadati; Bacteroidota.